CCCUACGGGGCGCAGCAGUGAGGAAUAUUGGUCAAUGGGAGAGAUCCUGAACCAGCCAAGCCGCGUGAGGGAAGACGGCCCUAUGGGUUGUAAACCUCUUUUGUCGGAGAACAAAACCCGGGACGUGUCCCGGACUGCGUGUAUCCGAAGAAAAAGCAUCGGCUAACUCCGUGCCAGCAGCCGCGGUAAUACGGAGGAUGCGAGCGUUAUCCGGAUUUAUUGGGUUUAAAGGGUGCGCAGGCGGUUGAGUAAGACAGAUGUGAAAUCCCCGAGCUUAACUCGGGAAUGGCAUAUGUGACUGCUCG
This 305-nucleotide ribosomal RNA is filed under the name uncultured bacterium. RNAcentral describes it as "bacterial SSU rRNA". It matches the Rfam family "Bacterial small subunit ribosomal RNA", at positions 337 to 639 of the family's 1533-position model. The record is from RNAcentral.